GACGAACGCUGGCGGCGUGCUUAACACAUGCAAGUCGAACGGAAAGGCCCUGCUUGCAGGGUACUCGAGUGGCGAACGGGUGAGUAACACGUGGGUGAUGUGCCCUGCACUUCGGGAUAAGCCUGGGAAACUGGGUCUAAUACCGGAUAGGAGCCAUUUUUAGUGUGAUGGUUGGAAAGUUUUUUCGGUGUAGGAUGAGCUCGCGGCCUAUCAGCUUGUUGGUGGGGUAAUGGCCUACCAAGGCGGCGACGGGUAGCCGGCCUGAGAGGGUGGACGGCCACAUUGGGACUGAGAUACGGCCCAGACUCCUACGGGAGGCAGCAGUGGGGAAUAUUGCACAAUGGGCGCAAGCCUGAUGCAGCGACGCCGCGGGGGGGAUGACGGCCUUCGGGUUGUAAACUCCUUUCGCUAGGGACGAAGCUUUUUGUGACGGUACCUAGAUAAGAAGCACCGGCUAACUACGUG
RNAcentral lists this ribosomal RNA (465 nucleotides) under uncultured bacterium. RNAcentral's name for it is "partial 16S ribosomal RNA". It matches the Rfam family "Bacterial small subunit ribosomal RNA", at positions 28 to 507 of the family's 1533-position model. The record is from RNAcentral.